Molecule: ribosomal RNA, 497 nt
Filed under: uncultured bacterium
Lineage: Bacteria
Description: partial 16S ribosomal RNA
Rfam family: Bacterial small subunit ribosomal RNA
Source: RNAcentral
GAUGAACGCUGGCGGCGUGCCUAAUACAUGCAAGUCGAGCGAACAGAUGAGGAGCUUGCUCCUCUGACGUUAGCGGCGGACGGGUGAGUAACACGUGGAUAACCUACCUAUAAGACUGGGAUAACUUCGGGAAACCGGAGCUAAUACCGGAUAAUAUAUUGAACCGCAUGGUUCAAUAGUGAAAGACGGUUUUGCUGUCACUUAUAGAUGGAUCCGCGCCGCAUUAGCUAGUUGGUAAGGUAACGGCUUACCAAGGCAACGAUGCGUAGCCGACCUGAGAGGGUGACCGGCCCCACUGAACUUGGACCCGGGCCCAGACCCCAAGGGGGGGAGGCGGAGGGAAUUCUUCCGCAAGGGGCGAAGGUUUGACGGGGAACCGCCGCGGGAGUAAUGAGGUUCUCGGGUUGUAAAACCUUUGUUAUAAGGAAAAAAAAAAGGUGUAAGUAGUAAUCCCCUUCUGGCGGUUACUUAACAAGAAACCCCCGCCAAACUCGGUC